This is an RNA transcript of Orcinus orca (killer whale), 5594 nucleotides long. It is a transcript of the gene named EBP like, with no coding region annotated. Lineage: Eukaryota; Metazoa; Chordata; Mammalia; Artiodactyla; Delphinidae. The transcript has 12 exons. The record is from RefSeq and is a predicted model, not a curated record.
GAGGAGGUGAGCACGUUCCUGGCUUAAGAAAACCUCCGGGCUCUGGUAGCCAACGACUCGGCGGGGCGGCAGGGCGGCCGGGCGGCCCGGCGGCCAGGCGGAAGAGUAAGCCUCCGUCCGCUCCGCUCCGCCCAGUCCCGGCCGAGUAGCCCCGCCCCUUCGCCGCCCCGCUUCUCCCGCCGCACCGGGCAAUCCCGGUUGUUGGUGCCCCGCGGUCGGCGCCGGGAGCGGGAAGCAUGCGCGGCGACUGGGAACUGGGCGCCGCGGCUGGAGGCCCGCUGCUGCUGUGCGCCGCGCUGCUGGCCGUGGGCUGCGCACUGGGUCUGCGCCUGGGCCGCGGGCUGGGGGCUGCGGACCGCGGGGCGCUAGCCUGGCUCUGCUUCGACGCCCUGGUGCACUUCGCGCUGGAAGGCCCUUUUGUCUACUUGUCUUUGGUAGGAAACAUCACAGAUUCUGAUGCCUUGAUCGCUUCAUUGUGGAAAGAAUAUGGCAAAGCUGACGCAAGAUGGCUUUAUUUGGAUCCAACCAUUGUGUCUUUGGAAAUUCUGACUGUCGUCCUGGGAGGGUUUCUGGCAUUGGUUCUCAUUUAUGCCGUCGUCAAAGGGAAACAUUAUCGGUGCUGUAUAGACAAGCACAGUGGUGACAGCAUUGGAUGAUUUGCCACCAAUAUUUUGGAGAAUCAAAAGGAGGAAGAUUUAAGAUACCUUACAAAAAUACGAUAAAAAGUAAAUCAGGGGGGCUUCCCUGAUGGCGCAGUGGUUGAGAGUCCACCUGGUGAUGCAGGGGAUAUGGGUUCGUGCCCCGGUCUGGGAAGAUCCCACAUGCCGCAGAACGGCUGGGCCCGUGAGCCAUGGCCGCUGAGCCUGCACGUCCAGAGCCUGUGCUCCACAACGGGAGAGACCACAACGGUGAGAGGCCCGCGUACCGGAAAAAAAAAAAAAAAAGAAGUAAAUCAGGAAAUAGGAACAUAGGGAAAAUGAGUGAGAAACAAUAAGAUGAAGGUAAAAUUAAUAUGCAGAAUGCAUGCCGUGACGUCGUAUGUAACUGAUAGAAGUGAAGCAUAAAUGUAACACUUACCUUCAGUACCAAGAGGGAGACGUGAUCACCCUAUGUUUCAGAAAACACUCGUUUUGGCAGAUGGCUAUAGCACUUCCGUCAGAGGUGGGGAGCGGGUACUCACAUUAACUUGUUCAACACCUGGCUUUCUUACUAGCCUGUUAGCUCACAGAUGUGUUCUCCGCCUGGAAGGGUGCCCGGCCUAUACACCAGGCACUUGGUUGGUUGUGGUGGAUGCUGUCACUUAGCUCAGUCUACAUUCCCCCUCCUUCUAGGUGUCCUCUUAUCCUGCAGAGAGCUGCAGGUUGUGGUCCUGGAUGCAAAAUUGCUGUCACCUUUCAGAGGUGCUUGUGAGCGGUUUGGAGGGUGAAAGCAUGGAGACCGUUUUCAGCUGUUCCUUUUUUACUUUUGCUGUUUUGUGGCGACAGGUUCUGAACAUACGACAUCGCCGCUGCCUCCGUGUGAGAGACAAUCUCAGAAUCAGCAAUUAAACGUUCCAGGCGCCCAGGCCUGGAGCAGAGCAACCGGCCGAAACCUGGGGCUUCUGAGCAGGCACAUCACAGAGCAUAAAAGGAAACAUUCUGCUUGUGCAGAGAAGAGGCAUUUUUGUCAGCACCUGGAUGGAACGUUGUCAGCACCCGGAGAGACCAGAGGAAACUGGGAAAACAGGUGACAGAGCCUCCUGCGGUGCGGGAGCUGGAAACAGCUACGACUGACCAGGCCGCAUCCUGUAAACAGUGCUAUUUAUAAAUACUGUUGACCUUGGACACAUGUACGGCUCGGAGCAAAGUGCUUUCCUCCAGUGUCUUACUAAGACUGUCCAGCCCUCCAGUUCCCAGGCUCAAAGCACCCAUGCUUUGAGUUCCUCAGCCUUCAGAGAGGAGGUGGUAGCUGGAUGUACCGUCCCCAGACACUGUUGUGGGGAAAAGCUUCCAGGUGCCGCAGAGAUUGGGGAAUAGAGGAAGCGUUCCCACUGUUGAGGAUUUUGAUGUAAUGAUGAGAAUGGUAACGGUACUGGUAGGCACCAUUUACUGGGUUCUUUAUGUUAGGCGUUUAAUGAUCUCAUUUCCUCCUCUUGACCACUGUGCCAGGUAGGUAUCGUUAUCACCAUUUUAUUAAGAAAAAGCUGAGGUUCAGAGAGGCAAAGUAACUCUGCUUUCAGCUGCAAGUGGCUGAGCUAGGUUUUCUUAUGAUCUCACUCGACCGUAGGUAAGGAGGGAGGAGGUCCCAGGUUGGUUCAGCAGCUCAGCAGUGUCAUCCGGGAGCCAGUCUCUCUCCACAUUUCUGCGUUGGCAUCAACUUCUGGGUGAUGUUUCCUUUCCUCGGUGCAGCAACACCAAGCUUCUCAUCCUCACACAACCAAAUUCAAAAGCAGGAAGAAGGGAAAGGUGGCAGUCUUCUCAUGUGUUUGUGUGCAUGUGUGUGUGUGUAUUUAUUUUAUCAGGAAGGAAAUAUUCCCCCAGAGCCUCCCAGUCAAUUUUAUCUGAUAUCUCAUUGUCCAAGAGAAUGAAAUGACUUGAUUUGACCAGGCAGGGUUCACCUCUGAGCGUACUGUCUCUGUCUCUUGAUAGCUGAAUACAAUUGCACUAUUCUUAGUGAGAAGAAAGUGGGAAUAGUGUUGGGUGGGCAACAGUGUCGACUGCAUUUCCCCAGCAUUCCAUGGUAGAGGGUUGUCUUCUUACAUACAUGCUUUCUUCCAAGAUCUCUUUAACAUGAGCUAACAGUGUGUGUGUGUGUGCACACGCGUGUGUGUGCCAGCAGGCACGUCCCAGGUGCUCACACUUGGUUGCUUGUGUAGCCUGGUCGAGUCCAAAGAUAAGAAAUCAGUGGAAAUGCUGCAGUAAUUCUUGCUUGCUAUCUUGCAAAUGAGAGACAGGGCAGGAUAGCGAGGCUGGGUUAGUGAGGCACCAUCAUGUAUUAAGGAAGAAGGCAGGUUGAAGAACGAGGAGAUCUGGAUUCUAGCCCCAGAUCUGCUACUUUCUAUCUGUGUUACCUUGGGUAGGUUAUUUAAUCUUUCUGAACCUCAGUUUUCUCAUCUGUAAAGCAAGAAGGUUGGACUAGGUCAUCUCUAAAUUUUGUUCAGCUCUAAUAUUCUAUAGUUACAGUGCAGUUUUUACUAGGCAGCUAUGAGCAGUGCUCUGUACAGUCUAUCACAUUAUUUUUUUUACAUUAUCUUUUUAAAAACCUUUCAAAAUGCAUCUGCAUGCCAUAUGAAUGGAAGAAGUCAACAUUAUUCAUGUACAUGGAGACUAGGACAUCAUGUAACAGAAUUACAUAUAGAAUAUAGUAUUCCAGACUCUUUUUAAAUGUCUUUAUUUUGCAUUACAAAUUGUACUUUGAGGUAUUAUCACUUUAACUGGCUUCUGUUUUACAUUUACAGCACAGCUCAUCUUCCAGAAUUUUUCACUGUUUCGAGUUUCCAUUUUAUUGGAAACACCAUCUCUUUAUAACUGAGUAAAGAACAUGGCAGAGUCAGGGGAAAGCUUUGCGCCUGUCUCUUUUUACUCUCUCUCUCUCUCUCACUCUGAACAUAAAUAGUAUCUUGACAGCUGAUCUUUGUCGUUUCAAAAAAACACAUGAAAAGGAAACAGCAGUGGGUGAUCUGCUUUCUGAAACAGUGUAAGAAAGAUCUGAAGAGUAUUAGCUCUGCACAGAAGCUCCUUCAGCUUCUGCUUUUACAAUAUUUGCAGGAAGUUUCCUGACACUAAGGGGGAAAAGAAACAGUGGCCAGAGACUGUCUCCUGAAAAUAUGCAGGAAGGAUAAUAUGGAGGCCAAGACGGACGUGUGUGAUGAGCUCCAGCCGUGCCUCAAAACAGGAACUGAUGACAGGGAGGUUUUGCUAUUUAUCUUCCAGGGUUGUUUUAAUAUGCAAAGUAGGUCCUCAGCGGCAGCUGCUAUUCCGUCAGCCACAUUUCCUGAACUGGAUAGUGUAUUUUUAGUUGACAGGAAAAAAAAACCACUUGGUUAGGAAGGAGCUCGGAUGGUCACGUCUCAGAAACUCAGAUCAGCACUUGAGACUUUACUACAUUUCCCAGAUGAGUUACUGUCACUCUGGGCAGCAAGCAACAGAGUGUUUACUUCAACUCUCUUCCUUUUAUUAAAAAUCAUUAUAUAAGGUAUGAUGAAUAUAUUUUUCUGUAUGAGCGUCAAACAACAUAAAAGUCUACAGGGUGAAAUUCCUAAGCUCACCGUCCAAAUCACUACUCCCCUCCUUAGAGAUAACCCACAGUUUGAUGUACAUUUUUACAGCGAUAUUUCUAUAAUAUACUCACAUAUUUUGGAGCAGAUAUUUUAUUAUUUUUUUUGUUUGAUUAGGUCUUUUUUUAAUGUAAUUGUGAUAUCUGUAACAUUUCAUUUAACAAUGUUGCAGUGAUUUCUCCAUGUUAGUACAUAUAAGUCUACCUUGGUUAUCUUUUGUUACUAUUUUUAAAAAUAAUUUAUUAAAUAUUGAGAAGGCCAUAAGAAGUAUAAUACUAAAACAGGUGAAAUUAUGUGACCCUAGAGAUUUUCAGAAUCUGCAGGAGACCUUUCUAGAACAGGGAGUGCUGCAGCUUCCCCAGGCCAAUCUUAUGCGGCUGCACAGGUAUCGAUACGAUGGGAGAUCAAUGGCUGCUCUGGAGGGAAGGCAGAGCAUUCCCCAAAGAAUGGGUGUUUACACAACAUAGGAUUGUUCAGAUACUUUUGGCCCCUAGCAAACAUUGCCUAAGUGGUGUUCUUGAGGUUGGUACAUACCUAUGCUUGGGAAAGAUGUGGAGGCUGGAGGAGGUGAGGAGAUGGGGCGAAAUCUGGAGUGUAGAGAAGCUUGGAUUUCCGUUGACACACUUUUUUUUUCCCCUAGAGAGAUACUGACACACAGUCACUGGAUUAAAUUGAUGCUCCCAUCUCAAUUAACUCAUUAGGGGUGUUUUAUCCAUACCUGAAGACUCCUUGGAGAUCCCUAUUGUAAGAUUGGGAACUCUGCCUUCUAAUAUGGCUCAUUGAUUCACUUCUGAGUGGACUGAGACAAAUCCUACUAAUUGUUGAAUUUGUUUCCUUGUUUGUGAAGCACUGAAUUUCCCCGGAAGCUACUUGUUAAAGAUGUCAGGACAAUGAUCUUCAGGAAAUGGAAGGAAACUUGGUCCCGAAGCACGGUGUGGAGGAGAGCUUUAUGCCUGUUAGAAACACUCGUUUUGGACUUUACGUUCUUGACAGAUGCUUUUCACCAGCAUGGUCCUGUAUUAGCGUGAACGCCAGGAGGAAGAGUCCUCGUCCUCGCGCGCCUUGGAGAUAGAGCCCAGUUUCUUCUUAAAGUACUACUUGUAAAUUGACAGCCUUUUGCCCUGUAGAAAAAGGUUAGAGAGCUCUAAAAUAAUCUUCUUUGGAACAACUAAUUUUGCUGUUUUCAGAUAACAAUUAUAGAGAGCUUCUGGAGCUGGAAAAAAAAAAAGUAAUAAAAAAAAAGAAAUCACCCAGCACUAGUGCACAGGUCAAUUUUAGGUGAAGAGCCUAGGAUUUGUCUAAUGGAAAGUUACUCAGUCCAAUAAAUGAUACUAAUAAA